This 424-nucleotide long non-coding RNA is filed under the name Mustela putorius furo (domestic ferret). RNAcentral describes it as "lncRNA (ENSMPUG00000025228.1)". Lineage: Eukaryota; Metazoa; Chordata; Mammalia; Carnivora; Mustelidae. The record is from RNAcentral.
AUGCUGGUGGUCCAGUCCCACUCUGAACACACAGUCCCUGGAAACUACCAUUCUUCUUUCUGUCUCCAUAAAUUUGACUAUUCAAAUGGACUUCAAAUAAGUGAAACUAAACAGUGUUUGUCUUUUGGUGACUUGCUUGCUUCAUCGUCCUCAAGUUCCCUCCAUGUUGUAGAAUGUAUUGUUUUCUUCCUUUUUAAAGGUAGAUAGAGAUGUUCCAACUACUGGCAAGUCCUCUUGAAAAAGUAAGUGCCAUUUUAAAUGCAUGCUCUUUUGAGUGUUGCUUAUGCAUGGAUUAAUUAGAUCUUCAGAUAUGAAAAAAACAGACACAAAAAUAAAAAAGUCCCCAUCAUAUGUAUUCAAGUGGUAAGGAAAUUGUUAAUUUCAAAUUACUUUUCAGGCUUCUAGCUCUUUUUGUAUUUUUGUC